This 214-nucleotide unclassified non-coding RNA is filed under the name Melitaea cinxia (Glanville fritillary). Its description in RNAcentral is "misc RNA ENSMCXG00005019195.1". The record is from RNAcentral. Lineage: Eukaryota; Metazoa; Arthropoda; Insecta; Lepidoptera; Nymphalidae.
ACCUGCUCGGUUGAGGGCUUCAUCUAAAGUAACCGUGUCUUCCUCAGAAACACCCAUUUUUAACAAGACUAUUAAUCUACCUAAAAUGUUUUUUCUCGACUUCUCGGUCCUGUGUCUGAGAGGUCUCUAACACACAACUCAUACGCAACACUAAAAACGUAUCGUUAAUCGGUUCAGGAUGAUAUCAAUAAGUGUACGACUCUCUACACGUUUG